This 800-nucleotide ribosomal RNA is filed under the name uncultured bacterium. Its description in RNAcentral is "bacterial SSU rRNA". It matches the Rfam family "Bacterial small subunit ribosomal RNA", at positions 82 to 878 of the family's 1533-position model. The record is from RNAcentral.
UUCCUGGUGGCGAGCGGCGGACGGGUGAGUAAUGCAUAGAAAUCUGCCCGGUAGUGGGGGAUAACUUGGGGAAACCCAGGCUAAUACCGCAUACGUCCUACGGGAGAAAGCAGGGGAUCUUCGGACCUUGCGCUAUCGGAUGAGUCUAUGUCGGAUUAGCUUGUUGGUGAGGUAAUGGCUCACCAAGGCGACGAUCCGUAGCUGGUCUGAGAGGAUGAUCAGCCACAUCGGGACUGAGACACGGCCCGAACUCCUACGGGAGGCAGCAGUGGGGAAUAUUGGACAAUGGGCGAAAGCCUGAUCCAGCCAUGCCGCGUGUGUGAAGAAGGCCUUCGGGUUGUAAAGCACUUUCAGUGGGGAAGAAAGCCUUGGGGCUAAUACCCUCGAGGAAGGACAUCACCCACAGAAGAAGCACCGGCUAACUCCGUGCCAGCAGCCGCGGUAAUACGGAGGGUGCGAGCGUUAAUCGGAAUUACUGGGCGUAAAGCGCGCGUAGGCGGCCUGAUAAGCCGGUUGUGAAAGCCCCGGGCUCAACCUGGGAACGGCAUCCGGAACUGUCAGGCUAGAGUGCAGGAGAGGAAGGUAGAAUUCCCGGUGUAGCGGUGAAAUGCGUAGAGAUCGGGAGGAAUACCAGUGGCGAAGGCGGCCUUCUGGACUGACACUGACGCUGAGGUGCGAAAGCGUGGGUAGCAAACAGGAUUAGAUACCCUGGUAGUCCACGCCGUAAACGAUGUCGACUAGCCGUUGGGCUCCUUGAGAGCUUUGUGGCGCAGUUAACGCGAUAAGUCGACCGCCUGGGG